Molecule: non-coding RNA, 5932 nt
Organism: Meleagris gallopavo (turkey)
Lineage: Eukaryota; Metazoa; Chordata; Aves; Galliformes; Phasianidae
Source: RefSeq, a predicted model, not a curated record
CGCCGCGACCGCCUGUGAAAGGAUUCUCUAUUUUGUUUACCUGCUGUAUCACGGGGGGUCCGCAGGAGAGUGGCAGGGUGUUAUUUUUUAAUGGUUCUUUUUUUGCGAUCAGCUGUGAAAACGUUACAAGUCUGCACAAUGUUUAGGUGUGCGUGCGUGUGUGAUUUCGUUAUUUUAUCCCCCCCCUCCGGCGGGCGAGGGGCGUUCCUUCCUUCCCGGGCUCUGUCUGGGUCGGCGCUGCCCCGCAGUGCCCCGCUCCGAGCGGCACACGCCCCCCACCCCCCGCACCCCGUGCCCGCAGUGCCUUCCCCGCACCCCGUGCCGGCCGGUGCCAACCUGUGAGCGCCGCAGAAUCCCCUUCUCUGCCACUCCGAACCCACGCGCAGUUCCCUCUCUGUAAUCGUGCCGAACAGGCCAGGACAAAAGGGCCCAUUGUUGGUGGGAUUUGUUUCUUAUUGCCACCCGAGCCUCUUAGCUGUAAUUUCCACGUCUUGCAAGUUUGGCCUUCAUUUACUUCAAAUUUGUGAGAAUUCAGCAUUUUGGGACUUGGAGCGGUGGGCUUUUUUUUCCGCCUCCUUCUUUGUGUUUUAUGAUGGUUGUUGUGUGGGGUGAGCCUCCAGCCAGCAGCGGAAGAAAUCUCAACAUUGCAACGUACCAAGAAAAUUCUAACACCUGUCCUUUUGAUUCCAGACCUGCAGUUAAGAGAUGUCUAUCCAUUUUAAGAAUUUUAAUACAAAUGCUGUUUUUUAGAAAACAACUUUGUGCGCUUUUAUGUACGACGUGGAACAAACGUUAAUUGUUAAACAUUAAUUAGAUAGGCUGUUAAUAGCAUGGUCACAGUAAGAAGGGCGUGAGGGGCUUCAUUUAGCUGAGGAUGGUGUUUAAACAAAAAGACCAAAUGCCAAAGCCCAAGAUGACUAAAUAGCCAGUGGAACAGUAACACAGAAUUUCAUUUGUGUUUGGGUCCUGAUCCCGUGUGAAGGCAGCGCCGCGCUCAGUGGGCAGCUGUAGGAAGUCCUGUGUUGUAACAGCAGCGUCACGUAAGGUUGGCACACUGGUCUUCGCUAUGGGCGGCCCAGUUUGGUAGAGCAGAAGUCUGAAAGUCAGUUAUUUAUGACAUCUCUUUGCAUUUAAUGCCUCGAAAUUGUGGUUUCCUGAUUUGAAGAGGGAGCGGGGUGGGAGGAGGUACCUUCAGUGAGCUGGGGCACCUGGGCUUUGCUGAUCUCCCUUACCUUUCUCUCUUAGCUCCUCUUCAAAGACCAGCACACAAAGUGCAGCUUUUUCCCCGUGCCAAGAAAACUUGAAAUUGUCUUUCUGUGUGAAAACAGAAAUUGAGCAAUGCUGCAUGAAGGGUUUUUAGUUAGGCCAGUGCAAUCUGACUGCCUCGAUGCCCGGCGUAGAUCCGAUGUUUCUCCUUUUAAGUAGGAAAGCUUUCUGCUUCAGCGCUGGUAGAAGUGGCUUUAGUUAAAUUCACCCCAAUGAUUGACAUUAAAAUGACAAUAUUAUGUUUUAGUUGAAGAUGGGAUAUUGAUUUUAGCAACAUCCAAUACCUACUAAAAAAUUGGAUGCUGAGUAUUAGGGGCUUCUUUUAACAAAAAUGACGUGUUGGAAAGAAAGACUGCAGGCAUAUCUUGCACUGAAGUUUACGGAAGAAAAUUUGCCAUAAAUUCACAUCUCAGCUAUUGCGAUGGUCAACGUUUGCCUUAAAUUCAGUGAGACUGUGUAGUGUUCAGCACCUAACCGGCCUCGUGCCAGAUCGAUGUACUGGAAGCAAGUCGUUCAGCUUGGUAAAAGCAGUUCUCUGCAGCAGGCAGCAGAUUUGUCAUGUUUCGUAGUGCCUCCUGUUUUCCUAUUGCCUGUGUUGUGAUUGAGGAAUGAUGUACAAAUGGAUGUAAGUAGCAUACGGUGGGACGCAGAGUCCCGUGUUCCUUAGCCUGGCAGAGCAGCUGAAGGCAACUAAGGAAACUCUGGACUGUGCUGUUGUUUUUUUGUAGCUAUACUCUUAAUUCUUGCCAAAAAGGUGCGUUCGUCAAACGGCGAAGGAUUAAAGAAACCACGGCGUGGGUCUGACCGGAGUUCUGAAUGUAUUGAGGUGUUCAGUGUUCUCUGCGACUUGGUGAGGACAGCACAAAAGUAGAACUCAGCGUUUGAUCUUCCAAAUCCUCUGAAGUGUUCUGGUGCUUGUUAAACAUAGGCCUUGUCUAUCAAGUAGAAACAAAAUCACACUGCUUUAACUUGACUGAAUAAUGAAAGCUAUAUUUGCUUCUACACUAGAAAAAAAAUGUUGUAUCAAUAUAAAGGUACUCUUUUAUUCCUUUUCCCUGUGGGAAUAUGUUAUACCAGUGUCAAUGCAAAGGUGGUAUAUAGUUCUUUUCACAGUGAGAAUUGCAAAAAAGUAAUCGAUUUGGAAGAAAAAUUACAUUCCCAGCCAGAAUACUUCCUGACAGUGCAGAAAUUGUAUAAACAAGGCCUUGGUUUAAGGCUGGUCUUAUGACCACAUAUUUUGCUGUACAUAAUGAUGGUAUUUUUAAAAAUCCAAGCUUGUUCUAUCGCCAGAAAGCAUGCCUUUGAAAUCCCAGUCUCUGUGAUUGUAACCAUGCCGUAUUCCGGACUUUGUUGCAAAUACAAGUGUGGUUCUCCCAACCCCGUGCUCAGGCUCUGUUGAUGUGUGCAGUUCUGAGGGUGACGCUCAGUGCUCUGGCUGUGGGAUUCCUGGAGGUUCUGCUGCUCUCAAAAGAAUGUGUGGCAGGCUUUUCUCAAGGAGCAUUUAUUUUCAAUAAAGGGCAGCUGGCUCUUUGUGACUUCUUCAUCUGGACCCUCCUUGCGUGCAGGUGUUGCUAAGUAUCGCGUUGCCUCGAGGAGUGACAAAAUGCAAGAACUUCCAUUUUCCCGAGAGCUUUGUGUGAAAAGGAGCAGCGUGCGUGUCCUUGAGUCCUCUGCCAUUCAGAGUAACGGGCAGCUCCCCUGGGCGGCCGUGGGAAGGUUUGGAGCAGUGAGCCACGAGGAGCUCUGUGACUCACAGAUGAGCAGAGCAGGCAGCCCAGGAGCCUUUGUGGCAGAGCUUUGCUGUACCCUGGAGGACUGCUGCCAUGAGCGCCCAUUCGUGGGCUGAAGAGAGGCUGCUCUGGAAGCAAGUAUGUGUGUGAGCUCUGUCGAAGGUGGGAUGGUCUUCAGUAAUGGCCUUCGCAGCCCAGAGCCUCCUCCCGCAGCAUUUAUAGCUUUGUACAAAACGUGUACGUCAAAAAGGCUCUUCUGUCAUAUUGCUGUAACCCCGUGGUCUGAAAUCUCAUUUUUUAGGAAUUCAACAUCUGCAUGGCUCCUAAAAUCUUUUAUUUGGAAGUGAGGAACUCUGACAAACGUAUGCAUACAUAUGAGAGUGAUGAAAUAGCAGGAUGGUUCGAAUGGUUAAAGGUGCCUAAGUGAGCUGAGUGCUGACGCCUGGGGUGCGGCGCUGGGCCGCCUUGGUUCGGCUUUAAGCACGCCUCACACUGUGCCAGUCUGUAAUGGAGAAGCUCUCUGUGUUUCCCAAGGAAGAGUGGUUGUGUGGGGUGUGUGCUUCUGCGUUUCUUCUGACACGGCUGGAGUCAAAACUCAGCCUUAGCACCAGUGGCCUCAGCCUCUGUGCUCUCCGUGCUGCAUACAGUCACUACGGCGUGGAGAAAACACGCAGUGAAACCUCAACUGGUCGAGAGAUACUGACAUUAAAAUUUCUCUGUAGCAGUCUUAUUUUGCGGGGGGUAUGAGUGCUCUCAUGCACACUGGGUGCCGAUUUAAUAUUGUUGAUGCCAAGCGUGGUGAUUCACGUAGCUGACAUACUGUGCAAAAACCAAACACUAUAGAUAAACACUUAAUCUGCAAAAUCUAACAUGUCUUAGAUCCUAUCUAAAACACUGUAAAAUUAGAAGUGAAUUAACUAGAACUUGUAAGCUGUUCAAGUAAGUCUUAAAAGAUUGGAAGCAGAUGUUGUGCAGUAACUUUAAUAUCUCCACAGCAUCUGGGUCUCUGGGAAGUUUGGGCUCAGACAAAGCUAAGUGGUCCAGAGUCCAAAGCUUUGUUUUGAUAAUCUGGGCAGAGGGAGGUUUUUUGAGAGAGUGUGUCAGACGUGUAACUUCAGCUUUAGUGAGUUAAGAAAACAUUUUACUUCUACAAAAUUCUUUGGUUUUAAGGGAACAUUAUAAAAAGUGCCUAAUUAAUAGAUCUAAAGUCCAGGUAAUGAAUUUCAGAUGUUUCUGCUGCAAGAAAUCCCGUGGCAAACAGUCUGGUCAGUGACACUGAUUUUGGUGGUGUAUGGGAACCGCUGAAUCACGGCCUGAACCUCUGAUUGACCACCUGAGGCGAGCAGUGAGCCAGCCCUGGGAGCACAGGUGAGGGCAAUUCUGUGCCUGGCUGCGCCUCUCCUAGACCCAUUUAAGAGUUGACUGCUACUGGGGAAGGAUCUCUUCUGGAGAUCGCUUCUCUUGGAGUCUUCUCAGUGAGCCCAGGACAAGGGUAAGACCAUAAACGCUGAGCUGCAGGUGUACGUCUGCAUUUGACCUGCUGUUAUUAAUAGGCAGGAUUAACAGGUACGGACCCCAGCGUGGCUAUUUGGAAAGAAGUCUCAAUUUUGCCAUUAAAAGUUCUGCACUGCAGAUGUUCCCAGGAACGCAGCUGUCCGUGAACUGUGUGCCCACUGUGUUCUGCAGAGUGAGAGCAGACGGCAGAAGGAGGUGCACGUCCUGGGGCAGGGGGCAUGGCGCGUCCCUGCUCACAGCCAGCAUUUCAGUUCCUUGCCUUCUCGCUGUCUCCAGGCACCAUUAGCACCGCUAGCAGAGAGAGGAGGGGCAAGGCCUGACCUGCUGGCUGUGUCAGGUGCCCCAUCGCCCUGUGCCGUGCCGUGCCCUGCUUCUGGCUCCCUGCUUCAGUGUGGAACUCCUGCGUACUUGUAGCACACCUGCUCUGCUUUCCACACCUCCAUUUUUGCACUGCGUGUUUUGUCAAAGUAUCACUUUUGGUGCAGGUGUACUGAUUUCUCCUGAGACUUUCAGUCUGCAAUUGCAGUACCAAGUGAAAUAAAGGAAGAAGAUGGAGAGAGUCUGAGGAUGCUGCAGAAAUGUUUCUUGCAAGAGGAUGUGAGCUUUUUCCUUCAAGACAGAGGAAUAUCAAUAAUCCUUAAAAAUGUGUGCAGGAGGGACAGUGAUUUUACGUGAGGUGUUUCUGCAGGGAGUGUUCCUUCACAUGCAAAGGAAAAUUCUCUUCAGCUUAUUGUGAACAUUGCUCUUCCAGCAUGGCUGAGCAGCAGCAGCAGAGGCUGAGCGGCAGGAGAUGGGAGCAGCGGGUGCUGCCAAGUGCCUGCAGCCAAACCGGCACCUGGAGGUGCCCGCGGUUAUUGCAGGCUGCGCGACAACAGAACGCCUCCGCUGACCGAUACACAAACACAGGCAGCCGCUGUAUUAAUACAUGCUAGGCAGCAUGAAAGGUGGAAGAGGAACUGCAAAUUAGUUUAAAAUUAACAGUUACUUGGGGAAGUACCACAGGAGGAUCUGCCGUAGUCGUUCCCCUUGAUCAACCACUUAAGAAACAGUUGUUAUCGCUGCUCCUAGCAGCCCAGCAGUGAGGAGACCCAAACACCGCACCUCCUUCUUCUCCAGUCAACCUCCCGUUGCAAAUGAAAUUUGAAUGCCUUAAGAUGAGAAUUCACUGUGCUCUCAUCUGUGCCUGACUCCCAAAGGUUCUAAUGUGAGUGCAUUCAGGGCAAAAACCACAGCAGCCAUCCUCACAGAGUCGGUCUCCGGAUGGAUGUUUUUGGAUGUCAAUGCUUUGCUCAACAAUGAGAGUUGUGUUUGGGUUAAGCUCAAUUAAAUAAACAGUUUGGCUGAGGAAUAUUUUUAAAAGCUAACAUUUAAUUUCAGUGUUCAUUCAUAAUUUCAUUCAAUUACACAUUUUUGUAUUUUCU